GAAUUAAAUAUUUUAAGCUUCUAACUUAAAUUUUAGCAUAUUUUUGUUAUUAAUUCU
Molecule: transfer RNA, 57 nt
Filed under: Ctenisodes sp. 1 EF-2015
Lineage: Eukaryota; Metazoa; Arthropoda; Insecta; Coleoptera; Staphylinidae
Description: tRNA-Ser
Source: RNAcentral